AACGAACGCUGGCGGCAUGCCUAACACAUGCAAGUCGAACGAGACCUUCGGGUCUAGUGGCGAACGGGUUCGUAACGCGGGGGAACCUGCCCUUAGGUUCGGCAUAACUCCCCGAAAGGGGUGCUAAUACCGGAGAAUGUCUUCGGACCAAAGAUUUAUCGCCUUUGGAUGGGCCCGCGUUGGAUUAGCUAGUUGGUAGGGUAAAACCCACCCAAGGCGACGAUCCAUAGCUGGUUUGAGAGGAUGCUCAGCCACACUGGGACUGAGACACGGCCCAGACUCCUGCGGGAGGCAGCAGUGGGGAAUAUUGGACAGUGGGCGAAAGCCUGAUCCAGCAAUGCCGCGUGAGUGAUGAAGGCCUUAGGGUUGUAAAGCUCUUUUACCCGGGAUGAUAAUGACAGUACCGGGAGAAUAAGCUCCGGCUAACUCCGUG
This 433-nucleotide ribosomal RNA is filed under the name uncultured bacterium. Its description in RNAcentral is "partial 16S ribosomal RNA". It matches the Rfam family "Bacterial small subunit ribosomal RNA", at positions 29 to 507 of the family's 1533-position model. The record is from RNAcentral.